GGGGCUCUAUUGGGUCUUUAUGGGGUCCUAUGGGGUCUUAUGGGGUCCUUAUGGGGGCUUAAAGGGGUCCUAUGGGGCUCUAUGGGGUCCUUAUGGGGUCCUUAUGGGGCCCUAUGGGGCUCUAUGGGGCCCUUAUGGGGUCCUAUGGGGUCUUUAUGGGGUCCUAUGGGGUCCUUAUGAGGCUCUAUGGGGUCCUAUGGGGUUCUAUGGGGGCUUCAAGUGGUCUUUAUGGGGUCUUUAUGGGGUCCUAUGGGGUCCUUAUGGGGCCCUAUGGGGUCUUUAUAGGGUCCUAUGGGGCUCUAUGGGGUCCUUAUGGGGGCUUAAAAGGGUCUUAUGGGGUUCUAUGGGGUCCUUAUGGGGUCCUUUGGGGGCUUAAAUGAGUCCUAUGGGACUCUAUGAGGUCUUUAUGGGGUCCUAUGGGGGUUUAAAGGGGUCCUAUAGGGUCCUUAUGGGGUCCUUAUGGGGAUCUAUGGGGGCUUUAUGGGGUCCUAUGGGGGCUUAAAGGGGUUCUAUGGGGUCCUAUGGGGUCUUAUGGGGGCUUUAUGGGGUCCUAUGGGGGCUUAAAGGGGUCCUAUGGGGCUCUAUGGGGUCCUUAUGGGGUCCUUAUGGGGCCCUAUGGGGCUCUAUGGGGUCCUUAUGAGGAUCUAUGGGGGCUUAAAGUGGUCUUUAUGGGGUCCUAUGGGGUCCUUAUGGGGUUAUAUGGGGUCCAAUGGGGUCCUAUGGGGCUCUAUGAGGUCUUAUGGGGCUCUAUGGGGUCCUUAUGGGGUCCCUAUGGGGUCUUUAUGGGGUCCCCAUGGGGUUUUAUGGGGUCUUAUGGGGUCCCUAUGGGGUCCUAUGGGGGCUUAAAGGGGUUCUAUGGGGUCCUCAUAAGGCUCUAUGGGGUCCUAUGGGUUCUAUGGGGCCUCAAAGGGUCCUAUGGGGUCUUUAUGGGGUCCUAUGGGGCAAUAUGCGGUCCUAUGGGGUCCUUAUGGGGUCCUAUGGGGCUCUAUGGGGUCCUAUGGGGUCCUUAUGGG
This is a long non-coding RNA of Gallus gallus (chicken), 1013 nucleotides long. Lineage: Eukaryota; Metazoa; Chordata; Aves; Galliformes; Phasianidae. The record is from Ensembl.